GACGAACGCUGGCGGCGUGCUUAACACAUGCAAGUCGAACGGAAAGGCCCUGCUUUUGUGGGGUGCUCGAGUGGCGAACGGGUGAGUAACACGUGAGUAACCUGCCCUUGACUUUGGGAUAACUUCAGGAAACUGGGGCUAAUACCGGAUAGGAGCUCCUGCUGCAUGGUGGGGGUUGGAAAGUUUCGGCGGUUGGGGAUGGACUCGCGGCUUAUCAGCUUGUUGGUGGGGUAGUGGCUUACCAAGGCUUUGACGGGUAGCCGGCCUGAGAGGGUGACCGGCCACCUUGGGCCUACGGUACGGCCCAGUCUCCUACGUGCGGCAGCAGUGGGGAACAUUGCACAGUGGGCGGAAGCCUGAUGCAGCAACGCCGCGUGCGGGAUGACGGCCUUCUGGUUGUAAACCGCUUUCGCCUGUGACGAAGCGUUAUUGACGGUAAUGGGUAAAGAAGCACCGGCUAACUACGUG
RNAcentral lists this ribosomal RNA (468 nucleotides) under uncultured bacterium. Its description in RNAcentral is "partial 16S ribosomal RNA". It matches the Rfam family "Bacterial small subunit ribosomal RNA", at positions 28 to 507 of the family's 1533-position model. The record is from RNAcentral.